CAAUAGCGUAUAUUAAAGUUGUUGCGGUUAAAAGCUCGUAGUUGGAUUUCUGCUGAGGACGACCGGUCCGCCCUCUGGGUGAGUAUCUGGCUUGGCCUUGGCAUCUUCUUGGAGAACGUAGCUGCACUUGACUGUGUGGUGCGGUAUCCAGGACUUUUACUUUUGAGGAAAUUAGAGUGUUUCAAGCAGGCACACGCCUUGAAUACAUUAGCAUGGAAUAAUAAGAUAGGACCUUGGUUCUAUUUUGUUGGUUUUCGGAAAUCGACUUAAUGAUUAAUAGGGACAGUCGGGGGCAUUUGUAUUCAAACGACAGAGGUGAAAUUCUUGGACCGUUUGAAGACAAACUACUGCGAAAGCAUUUGCCAAGAAUGUUUUCAUUGAUCAAGAACGAAAGUUAGGGGAUCGAAGACGAUUAGAUACC
Molecule: ribosomal RNA, 421 nt
Filed under: uncultured eukaryote
Lineage: Eukaryota
Description: bacterial SSU rRNA
Rfam family: Eukaryotic small subunit ribosomal RNA
Source: RNAcentral